ACUCCUACGGGAGGCAGCAGUGGGGAAUAUUGGACAAUGGGCGAAAGCCUGAUCCAGCAAUGCCGCGUGAGUGAUGAAGGCCUUAGGGUUGUAAAGCUCUUUUACCCGGGAUGAUAAUGACAGUACCGGGAGAAUAAGCUCCGGCUAACUCCGUGCCAGCAGCCGCGGUAAUACGGAGGGAGCUAGCGUUAUUCGGAAUUACUGGGCGUAAAGCGCACGUAGGCGGCUUUGUAAGUAAGAGGUGAAAGCCCAGAGCUCAACUCUGGAAUUGCCUUCUAGACUGCAUCGCUUGAAUCAUGGAGAGGUCAGUGGAAUUCCGAGUGUAGAGGUGAAAUUCGUAGAUAUUCGGAAGAACACCAGUGGCGAAGGCGGCUGACUGGACAUGUAUUGACGCUGAGGUGCGAAAGCGUGGGGAGCAGACAGGGUUAGAUACCCUGGUAGUCCACGCCGUAAACGAUGAUAACUAGCUGUCCGGGGACUUGGUCUUUGGGUGGCGCAGCUAACGCAUUAAGUUAUCCGCCUGGGGAGUACGGCCGCAAGGUUAAAACUCAAAUGAAUUGACGG
Molecule: ribosomal RNA, 564 nt
Filed under: uncultured Sphingomonas sp.
Lineage: Bacteria; Pseudomonadati; Pseudomonadota; Alphaproteobacteria; Sphingomonadales; Sphingomonadaceae
Description: bacterial SSU rRNA
Rfam family: Bacterial small subunit ribosomal RNA
Source: RNAcentral